This 78-nucleotide non-coding RNA is filed under the name Shimia sp. SK013. Its description in RNAcentral is "Alpha-proteobacteria SAM riboswitch aptamer". It matches the Rfam family "Alpha-proteobacteria SAM riboswitch aptamer". From Rfam's summary of the family: This family is a riboswitch found predominantly in alpha-proteobacteria that binds S-adenosyl methionine (SAM). This SAM riboswitch is located upstream of the metA and metC genes in Agrobacterium tumefaciens, and other methionine and SAM biosynthesis genes in other alpha-proteobacteria. The record is from Rfam by way of RNAcentral. RNAcentral also lists the same sequence under 1 other name. Lineage: Bacteria; Pseudomonadati; Pseudomonadota; Alphaproteobacteria; Rhodobacterales; Roseobacteraceae.
AUCCGCUGGCGUGGCGAUUUGUUACCGGAUUGCGGGCCACGUUAAACAUGCCGCUAAAGAGGUCGAGACGAAGGAGCC